RNAcentral lists this RNase P RNA (366 nucleotides) under Deltaproteobacteria bacterium. Its description in RNAcentral is "RNase P RNA component class A". It matches the Rfam family "Bacterial RNase P class A". Rfam says of the family: Ribonuclease P (RNase P) is a ubiquitous endoribonuclease, found in archaea, bacteria and eukarya as well as chloroplasts and mitochondria. Its best characterised activity is the generation of mature 5'-ends of tRNAs by cleaving the 5'-leader elements of precursor-tRNAs. Lineage: Bacteria; Pseudomonadati; Myxococcota; Myxococcia. The record is from RNAcentral.
UCGGGGAGCCAGAGGGUCGCGGUUCGCGGGGACGCGAGCUGAGGAAAGUCCGGGCUCCAAAGGGCAGGUCGCUGGGUAAUGCCCAGGGGGAGUAAUCCCUGGAAAGUGCCACAGAAAAUAAACCGCCCAGUAAUGCUACUGGGUAAGGGUGAAACGGUGGGGUAAGAGCCCACCAGCGGUUCAGGCAACUGAAUCGGCUCGGCAAACCCCGACCGGAGCAAGACCAAAUAGAGAGGCGUUAAGGUUGUGCCCGGCUAAAGCCUCUGGGUAGGUCGCUUGAGCGCAGAAGUAAUUCUGCCCCCAGAUGAAUGACCCUCACUCUGAGUUAAUCAGGGAACAGAACCCGGCUUAUGGCUCCCCGAGCAA